UUUAUGAAUUUCGGAGCAAUGGGAUUUGUUUACAGUCACGAAAUGCUUCACGGAUUUGAUAUGUCAGGCGUACGGUAAGAAAACUUUAUCGGAAAAUAUCGCCGAUAAUGGUGGCCUUCGUCUAGCUUAUUUGGUAAUACGAUUUGUAUAUUAUAAUUUAUUUUUAUAAAUUCAUUAUACAGUAUACGAGUUAUUUCUACUAAACUUAUAAUCUUUCUCAGAAUAAGAUGGAAGCAAUGUUCAAUACGUACACGAAAAUAAAAGUUUCUUUAGAUAGUAAAACAGUAGUGUUAUCGAUGUUACGACUGUUAUUAUUUGUAAUAAAGUAUAGAUAAAUAGAGUUAUCCUUAUUUUUUCAUUAAUUGUAAUUUUAUUUAUAAAAAAUUCACAAGUUUAUAAAUUCUGCGAAUGAAUUUAAAAUGAAAAGUUAUUUAUUUUUAAACUUAAACUAGAGUUAUAAAAAAUGGGUGGAAGAUCACGGUAGAGAGAAACGUCUCCCGUGUCUAGAAAAGUACAGCCCCGAGCAAUUGUUCUUUAUAUCUUUUGCUGAGUCAUGGUGUAGUUACAUUCCGUUGGAGAGUGUGGUUCGAGUUGACGAAGACAUACAUGCUGCCGAUCAAUUAAGGACUAUCCACAUUAGUUUCGAGUCAAAGAACGUAUCGUUCUCCAAUGGAUAUCUCUCUCCGCGACGGUGCGCUUUGUUCUAGCGAAGAGAGAAUUGGAAUUUGCUAUAUCGAAUGCCAGAUAAUUAGAACUCUUGCUUGUACAAAAGCGUUUCCUCCUUGCAGAUGUCACGAUUACUGAGACGAUAAAGAAAACCUUCGUGUUAUUGCGCCACGAAUUUUCAAUCAUGAUCAUUUUUUGAUCUAAUGGAUGCUCUUCAUUACUAUUACUUUGAUCGUUAAAGAAUUAGCCUAAGCUAUUUAUAGUUUAUGAUAUUUUAAAACGAUAUCCGAGUGCUACCAGUUACAUUUGUAACUGCUCUCUUUAUUUUUAUAGCGCAGUUACGCAGGAAAUUAUCGCUUACUUUAUAAGAUCGAAAGGAUUAAAGUUGCUUAUUAUAUUUAUCUAUAUACUUGUUAAUUCUUUAACUUGUUUUAGUCGAAAUUGUUGUAUUAAUUAGGGGAGACCGGGGCAAGAUCGGCAUGUUAAGCUUUACUUAAAUUUUGUGUAAUAAAUACUGCUGUAAACUGGAAAAAAAAGCUUUGCAUAUUGUCUAUUGGAAUGUUUUCUUACUAUAGAACUGGUUAAAAUCAGUUUGGAAAUAAAAAUAAUUAAAAUAAUUACAACUUUACAAGACGAGAGAACUCCGUCUCCCGAAGUUGGUUUAUCGUGUUGAACACGGCUUGGAUAGUUCUAGAUGUAGGUCCGUUGGAAGCACACCUCCACACUCAAAACAGUCAGUAUAUACAUUUUAUUUACAAAUUUAUACAAAUUAUACAAGUUAGGUAUACAAAGAGUGAUGUCUCACGUUCCAGUUUGACCUUUGGGAAACGAUUAUAUCCUUGAGAGAUAUCGGUCAGUCAGUGGAUUGGCUCUAUCUGCACUGUUCGUCCCGUCUCAGCACUUACCUGUCCCUGAGAUAUUCUGCAGAGGAGUAUGCUCUCUCUCUUUCCCUCUAACCUCAGCGGUUUGCUAAGUGUCUGAGACCUUAGUGCUACCAGUCCCGAGCCCUUUCUCUUUCCCUCUAUCUUGCUCGCUUUCCAAUUUAAAGACUUUUUGAACGGGAACGUCAGACCAAUUACAGCUCUUCCUUGCAAACAGCUUUCAUCCAGGUUCGCUUGACUCGGAUCAACACCACCUAGAAAACAAGACUUUACGGCAGACUUCAUGAUGUCUUUACUGAUGAAUCGUGUACUACUACUACUUGAAUGGAAUUCGCGUCUAGAAAAGUAAACGAUAUAUAUAUAAUUGAUUUAAAAAAUGUUUUUAUAUAUAAUUCGCGAAUUCUUCUUCAAACUAAAAGGCGUUGAUGUUAGAAUGAUCAAUCAUUUCAAAACAAGGACUGAGGUCUGUUCUUUGUCAAAUAUCAGUCUAUGGAAAUCAUCCAACACAGAUUCUUAAAAACCUUUAUUAUACAACUGUAAUUGCAGGUAAUAAAUUGUAACUUUACUUUUA
Molecule: long non-coding RNA, 2118 nt
Organism: Centruroides sculpturatus (bark scorpion)
Lineage: Eukaryota; Metazoa; Arthropoda; Arachnida; Scorpiones; Buthidae
Exons: 5
Source: RefSeq, a predicted model, not a curated record